Molecule: ribosomal RNA, 253 nt
Filed under: uncultured bacterium
Lineage: Bacteria
Description: partial 16S ribosomal RNA
Rfam family: Bacterial small subunit ribosomal RNA
Source: RNAcentral
AACGUAGGACGCAAGCGUUAUCCGGAGUUACUGGGCGUAAAGCGCGGGCAGGCGGUUCCUUAAGUCUGAUGUGAAAUCUCCCGGCUCAACCGGGAGCAGCCAUUGGAAACUAGGGAACUGGAGGGCGAGAGAGGUAGGCGGAAUUCCGGGAGGAGUGGUGAAAUGCGUAGAGAUCCGGAGGAACACCAGAGGCGAAGGCGGCCUACUGGCUCGCACCUGACGCUGAGCCGCGAAAGCCAGGGGAGCGAACGGG